Oncorhynchus gorbuscha (pink salmon) is the source of this 312-nucleotide long non-coding RNA. RefSeq lists it as uncharacterized. NCBI's taxonomy places the organism in Eukaryota, Metazoa, Chordata, Actinopteri, Salmoniformes, Salmonidae. The transcript has 3 exons. The record is from RefSeq and is a predicted model, not a curated record.
AGCAGUUCUCUGAAGCAGCCCAGCUGUAUGAGAAGGGGCAGUACUAUGACAAGGCUGCCUCAGUCUACAUACGCUGCAAGAACUGGUCUAAAGUAGGAGAGUUACUUCCCCAGGUCUCCUCUCCUAAGAUCCACCUGCAGUACGCCAAGGCCAAGGAGGUGGAUGGCAAGUUUAAGGAGGCUGUCCAGGCCUAUGAGAGUGCCAGGGACUGGGACAACGUGAUCCGGGUGUUGCUGGAUCACCUCAACAACCCUGAAGACGCCGUCCGCAUUGUCAGGGAGACGCAGAGCAUCGACGGGGCCAAAAUGGUUG